CCAACAUAGCUGGUUCAGUGUGGUUUUGAAGAAACUAAGUACGGUUGGAGAUGGU
This 55-nucleotide transfer RNA is filed under the name Pallisentis celatus. Its description in RNAcentral is "tRNA-Phe". The record is from RNAcentral. Lineage: Eukaryota; Metazoa; Acanthocephala; Eoacanthocephala; Gyracanthocephala; Quadrigyridae.